Long non-coding RNA from Neodiprion fabricii, 567 nucleotides. RefSeq lists it as uncharacterized. The transcript has 3 exons. Lineage: Eukaryota; Metazoa; Arthropoda; Insecta; Hymenoptera; Diprionidae. The record is from RefSeq and is a predicted model, not a curated record.
GAUCCAGCGCUCCGGGUCCGCUACCUUGUGGGGCUCCAGUUCCAGGACGAGCGCUCCGUAGUUUCUAUGCUCCAGGUCCGCUACCUGGUGAAACUCGAUUUCAGGGCGAAGUGCUCCAUAGUUUAUGCGCGCAAGCUCAACUACAUGGUGAAACUAGACUUCCAGGACAAGCGCGACGUGGUUCCUGUUUCAUAUUUACAGUGAAUUAAUUCGAUUUAUUUUCGCACAAGCCCAAAUUCAGGAGCUGUCAAUGCGCUAAUAAUAAUUAUACAAUUUUUUAUAAUUUUCUCAUAAUCUUCUUGGUGAAAUGUGUCGAUGAAAAAAUUGUAUUAAUCCUUACACAAUACGUUUGAUGUGUUCUAAUACUGAAAAUAUUUAUCAGUAUACGAGGUAUAACCCGAGGUGUUUAGCGCUGGUCGUUGGAGAUGGUCUGAGCUGGACGAGGAGGAGGACGAGAAAGACGAGGAGAACAAGGUGGACGAGUGGGACGAGGAUUUGUGCUCGGUAUAAUCCGAGGUGGUUGACGGUGGUUAGAGGUGGUCGGAGGUGGACGAGGAGGAGGACGAG